GCAAGUCGAACGAGAAAGCUCUUCGGAGUGAGUAGAGUGGCGCACGGGUGAGUAAUGCAUAGGAACGUACCUAUUAGUGAGGAAUAACCUCGGGAAACCGUGGCUAAUACCGCAUAAUAUCGUAAGAUCAAAGGAGGCCUCUUCUUGAAAGCUUUCGCUAGUAGAUCGGCCUAUGUCCCAUUAGCUUGUUGGUGAGGUAAAAGCUCACCAAGGCGACGAUGGGUAGCUGGUCUGAGAGGAUGAUC
Molecule: ribosomal RNA, 245 nt
Filed under: uncultured bacterium
Lineage: Bacteria
Description: partial 16S ribosomal RNA
Rfam family: Bacterial small subunit ribosomal RNA
Source: RNAcentral